AGAGACUGGACUGCGCCUGCGGCAAGGAAGGACGGAGCAGAGCCACCUGAGGCCGAGCGGGAGCCAGACCCAGGGAUGACCGUCCUGGGGAGCCCCUCUGCACCCCGGAGGGGACGCAGGACGCCCGGAGCAGUCCCAGGCCCUGCCCCUCGCUUCACCCACGGAGCUCCUAGGUCUCUAUCGUGCCCAUCGUACCCGCUGCCCUGCACUUCCGCCCCAAGCUGGUGGAGGAGGGAGGGUGUCGCAGACACGGGAGCGCCGCGGACCUCCUACAGUCACCGUCCUGCGGCGCAUCGCGGGUGACCCAACAGCCUCCCGCUGCUCCCGAAAGUGGGACGGGGCCGGCGGAUCAUCCUCCAAGCCGGGGGCGGCCACAGGCCCGAUCAAUGCCAGGAUUCCUCCGACUCCAAGAAAGGCGACGGGGAGAAGCAGGAGGACUCGGAUGACUCCGGCACCAGGGAGGAGGGCGCCCGGGCCUCGCCGUCGCCAGGGCGGUCGGGACGGGGGGUGGCGGGCGGCGCGGGGCAGGGCCCGGUGCCCGGGAGGCCGCGGGAAGCGGGGGGCGUCGAGCCGUCGGGGGCCGAGCUCAGCAGCUCUUGCAGGUACUUUAUGUAGCGGAUGGCGGCGCGCAGCGUCUCCACCUUGCUGAGUCGCUUCUCAGCCAGGGCGCCGGGGAGGUGGCCGCGGAGGCGAGCGUAGCCCUCGUUGACGCACUUGACUCGCUGCCUCUCGCGCUCGUUGCGCUUCUGGAUGAAGGCUGGCUCGAAGGGGUAUUCGUAGACCCCGAAGGCGCCGGGGAAGGGCACGUAGGGGAACACCCCCGCAUAGGCGUCGUAGUAGGGCGGCUCUGCUGGGCCCGGGUACAGCAGGAAGGGCACGUUGCCCAGGGGCUCGGCGGGGGGCAGGGGCGCCUGCCGGGGAGGGGGCAUGACGCCCAGCUGCAUGCAGCUGGGGGGCCCCAGAGGCCUCCGGUCCACCAGAGCCCGGCAGAAGUUAUUGUUCAUGGUGCCGCGUGGAGCUGGACCCAGAGCGAGGCCUCCACCGAAUGGCCCCGGCUUGGGGUCUGCACCGUCUCCACCAGUGGGGCAAGUCACAUCGCUAGCAGCAGCUCUUGGGUACCAGGACUUGCUAGGGCCUCUUUUCGCCCUUUAGGGUGGCUUCCAAUGACUCCCUAACAAGAGCCAUCGCCCUAGACAAGUGUGGCCCCUCUCAGGAGGUCGGUGCACGCCUUCUCAGAGCCAGCCCAUGGCGCCGCGGAACUCUGAGGGCCCGCACCCCGUUCCGCAGCACCCAUGGGCAUGGCCACAGACCCGCCCACCCUGCCUCUUGCUGCCACCCAACAUGGGCACCUCAGGCCUAAACCACGGGCUCCAUGUCCUCCACACCCACCCCAGCGCCUGGUCCUUGGUCCUCGCGGCCUUCGGGAUCCCCGGGCUGUCCGGGGUCCCCAAACUGAUGGCUGCUGUUAGGAGUGCGCCAGCUCAGUGGAGGGAGUCCCCGGGAACAUUUCUAAAGAAGAGGAGAGGAGAGUGAACAUAUCAGUUAGGAAAGACCUGUAUUAUGGGCUUCUUUGUAUCAUCCCCACCCGCAAACGGGAUUGUAAGCCUCAUGAGGAGAGGCGGUUGGCUACUGAAGGGGCACAGAUCUGGGUUAAAAUCUUGUGUCCACUCCUUAAUAGUCGGGUGACCACUCUGAGUCGUGGUUUCCAUAACGGAAGGGCAAGGGAAACAUCCUUGACAGGAAAUUAAUAAGAUAUGAGAAUCAAAUGUGAAAAAAUAUAUGCAAAAAACACCUCCUAAAGGUCAUAGCUUAUAAAAAUGCCCAGUUUUGUCAUGUCCCUUGAGACUGGGGGAUUAAGUCUCAUCACUGAUCCCUUCCGGGGUCUUACAUCUAGAAGCGGGUCUGAGACUGCUUAUUGGAUUAGCAGCAGCAGCCAUCAGCCAAUGAGGGAAGCCAACUCUUUAUGGAAAGGAAUGCCUCUUUGAUAACAAGGUAGGUGUUGCUGGUCCAUUCAAAGCCCUCUGCCUGGCAGAGACAGUCAUCAAAGCCUUCCCUGCCCCAGUCCCUGUGGUCUGGGAUACACCCUCUCACCCCACCCUGGGUUUCUCCAUGGCACCUAAUGGAGCUGUCUAUUCUUUCACCUGUAUGCCCUGAGCCUAGCCCAGCCCCUGUUGAGUAUUAGAUGCUCCACAAAUACAUGUGGAAUAACAGAGAGAGGAUUAGGCAGAAAGCUGGGUUUGUCAGGGUGGGACUGAUUACACGUAGCCUUUCAUAGGCUUUAGGAAGUUGUUAUUUCAGAAAUAAUUGGUGUGUGUUGAGUUUAGGUGCCACCAAGCUUCAUUGCAUGUGGUUAUCAGAUCCAAGUUAGGUGCCAUUUUGUCUAGGAAGCCUCUCUGAUCGCACUCCCCCCUCUUGUGUGUGUCUACAGUGUUCCAUAAGUGCCAUCUUAGCACUUAUCACACUACUCUAUUAUUUUUUCCCUCUUCAUAAAAGAUGAUCAGGACUUAGCGAGUGAGUGAGUGAUGGGCAGCAUGACACCUUGGCCACUGGGCACGGCCUCUCCAAGAGACAGAAAGGAGCUAGCUCUCUCCCUGACAGGAGGAGGUGGUGGCAAACUCAGAUUCCCGAGAAUGUCUCCUUCUGCACCCUCUCACCUCUGUCCUUUUUGCAGGCCCUGAGUCUGUUUCCAGCUAGCUUUGUCCUCCACACUAAAUGAGGACCAAGAAAAAUCAACAAUGAUUCUAAGCGUCAUGGAGACUUAGGUAUGCUCUCAAAAGUGAAACCAGGCCGGGCAUGGUGGCUCACGCCUGUAGUCCCAGCACUUUGGGAGGCUGAGGUGGGCAGAUCACUUGAGGACAGGAGUUCGAGACCAGCCUGGCCAACAUGAUGAAACCCUGUCUCUACUAAAAAUACAAAAACUAGCUGGGUGGAAUGGUGGGUGCCUGUAAUCCCAGCUAAUUGGGAGGCUGAGACAGAAGAAUCGCCUGAACCUGGGAGGUGGAGGGUGCAGUGAACCAAGAUCAUGCCACUGCAUUCCAGCCUGGAUGACAGAGCAAGACUCCAUUAAAAAAAAAAGAGUGAAACCAAAUGUCUGAGAAUUCAGGACAAAUUCACAUAUCCCUCCCCUUCUCAGUGGCCUUCAAAGCCUCCCCGUUGCUUUCAAGAGAAGGUUCUAGAAAAUGUCUCCCAAACAGACCUUCAGAUCUCUCAGGUCAAUCUUCUCUGGAACUCUUUGCUUUCCGGAUCUCACACUUGGCUUGUGCUGGCUCCGGUCCUGGGGGCCCUCUCUACAUCUCUCUGCUUUACCCAGAGUCCUGCCAUCCUUGAUUCCAGCUCCUGCCCAUCCUGACUGCCUGAGCGCUCCGGCUUCCAACAUGGGUUGUGCAUUCUAAGAUGGCACAUUCUCUUUAAGGUUGUGCAUUCUAUGUCUUCAACCAGAAUGUAAGCAGUCGGAAGGCAGGGGCUAGGGCUUUUAUUUCUCAGGUAACACCUAUCAGUCCCUUGCUCAAAAUGAUUUUCUAGCGGUUCUCUUUUAUUGUACAAAUUUGGGAUCCAGACUACACUCUCCCAUAUGAUCCCUGUCUAUUCAUAUUUGACUUAAUUAUUUAAAUUUAAUUUGAUAGGGGUCAGAAGUUUAUGACAAUUUUAACAAGUACAACUUACUAUUUGUUCAUGUUGAUUUAAUAUUCAUAACUUAUUUAUUUUCCUCAUAUACUAUUUACCUUUUUUCAUACAACAAUUCAGAAAGGUGAUUCAAACAAGAAACUUCACAGCAGGACUAUGUAUUUCUUAAGCCAAUUCUGUCUUUACUGUUAGAAAAGAACUGAUAAGCCAGGCGAGGUGGCUCAUGCCUGUAAUCCCGGCACUUUGUGAGGCCAAGGAGGGAGGAUCACUUGAGCCCAGGAGUUUGAGACCAGCCUGAGCAACAUGGCAAAACCCUGUCUCUACAAAAAAUUAAAAAAAUUAGCAGGGUUUGGUGGCAUGUGCCUGUGGUCUCAGCUACUCAGGGGGAGGCUGAGUAGGGGAGGAUGGCUUAAGCCCAGGAGGCAGAUGUUGCAGUGAGCUGAGGCUGCACCACUGCACUCCAGCCUGGGCAACAGAGCAAGACCCUGUCUCAAGAAAAAAAAAAAAAAAGAGAACUCAUAACCUAUCUGCAAGAUACCAUAGGGGGGUACACAGCUGCAAGGGAAUUGUGUUCUGCAUCUAUCACUGAAUACCAGAAGCUGAGGAACACAGUGUAGCAUAUGACCAUUAAGCGGCGUGAUUUUCAUUCAGUAAAUAUGUACAGAGGGUCCUGGAUAUCCUGGGACUGCUCUAGGUACUAGGAUAGAACAGCAAACAAACAUUGUAGUGAAAUAAUAAUAAUAAUGAUAAUCAUAGCUACACUUAUUAUUCAUGAUGUGCAAGACCUCAUGCUAAGAGCCUGAUGUGAAUCAUCUCAUUUAAUUUUCACGCCAUCCUUGAGAGGUAGGUGCUAAUAUUGUCUGGUUUUACGGGUGAGAAACUUGAGGCACAUGAAGGGUAAGUCACUUUUUAAAGGCCCACUGUUAGGAAUUCAUGAACUAAUAAAGGUUAAUCCACCACCUCAGUUUCCCACCUCUUCCCUCAGUAUUUCUACUAGUGGCUUCUCAUCUGAUCAAAGGAACAGAGAGGUUUACACUGACCUAACAAAAGGAUCUUAGUAAAUUAUUCCUGCUGGAGAGGAAUUACAAUUAUAAUGAUAAUUCCUGGAGGGGAUGUCCCGCUGAAGAUUCCAAUUAUAAUGCUGUUAUUUAGCUUCUGCUAAGAGAAGAACUAAAGGUCACCCCGGUCAUCUUUUGGGAGGGUAGCACCCCCUUGAAGAUGUGUUUGGAGGGUGGCCCAUGGAGUUCUGCUGCUGGGAAGAUACAGACUGGAGUAUCAUCAGACUGAGUCAAGCAGCAGGAGCCCCCUUGCCUGAGCUUAGAAAACCUGAGCAAAGGCCCCAGGAGGAUCUAUCAGUAGCAGGGAACCUACUCAUCGGCUAAGUUCAUGGGACUGGGCAGAACCAGCUAUCAAUAGCGCCACGGUGUGGUGGUGAGACGCAGUGGCGGCAACAGAUUGAUGAAAUUCGCAUCCCGACCCCACGGGUGUCGAAGUCAUCACUUCCUGUGACAGCUCCCUUUGGGGACUGUGGGUCCCUAGGUCUCCUGGAAAAUUCAGGGUAAGAGAAGACCCCUUAGGAAAAGCUACUGAGUUUUCUGUCAACAUCUACUAAUUUUCUCCCUGUGUUUGUGAAGCAAUUCGUAUCACUUAAACUUUCACUAUGUACACAUACAUAAAAUAUGUAUUAAUACAAUUAGAUGUAUUUUGUUGUUUUGAAUUAAAAAUAGCAGUUGCAUCAGCAUUAGGCAACUUACUAGAUAAAAAUGUGACUCUGAAACAGUGGAAGAGCUUUUCCUCUACUCUUAGCCCCCAUGGUGACUGCUGAAAGAGCUAGUUGAGUGAACCCAUUGAUUGCAUUGAGUAGGCACAGACUAUUAGUUGCAGGCAAUGCUGUCCACCUUUUUAAGGGGCCCUGGUUCCUCUCUGGGACCAGAGCCACUCCUUGCCCUCAGCAACCCCAUUCAUUACCAGCUGUACUCUAGUUUACUUUGCCCUGGGAAGCAGCCGAGCAGAUGUGCUUGGCAGGAAGUAACUGCUGUUCCUCCCCAGAGCUUUCUUCGUGGUGCAAGCUACACUGAGCUGUUAGGCCUGCAGUCUACGCUCAGUUGUACCAUGUACAGUUAGUUUGUUU
RNAcentral lists this long non-coding RNA (5755 nucleotides) under Homo sapiens (human). RNAcentral's name for it is "HSALNT0297425". Lineage: Eukaryota; Metazoa; Chordata; Mammalia; Primates; Hominidae. The record is from RNAcentral.